AUUGAACGCUGGCGGCAGGCCUAACACAUGCAAGUCGAACGAGUGGCGGACGGGUGCGUAAUGUCUGGGAACCUGCCCGAUGGAGGGGGAUAAAUACUGGAAACGGUAGCUAAUACCGCAUACCAUCGGAUGUGCCCAGAUGGGAUUAGCGAGUAGGUGGGGUAACGGCUCACCUAGGCGACGAUCCCUAGCUGGUCUGGGGGGAGGAACAGCCACACUGGAACUGAGACACGGGCCAGACGCCUACGUGAGGCAGCAGUGGGGAAUAUUGCACAAUGGGCGCAAGCCUGAUGCAGCCAUGCCGCGUGUAUGAAGAAGGCCUUCGGGUUGUAAAGUACUUUCAGCGAGGAGGCGUUACUCGCAGAAGAAGCACCGGCUAACUCCGUGCCAGCAGCCGCGGUAAUAC
Molecule: ribosomal RNA, 406 nt
Filed under: uncultured bacterium
Lineage: Bacteria
Description: partial 16S ribosomal RNA
Rfam family: Bacterial small subunit ribosomal RNA
Source: RNAcentral